UACGGGGGGGGCAAGCGUUGUUCGGAAUUACUGGGCGUAAAGGGCUCGUAGGCGGCCAACUAAGUCGGAUGUGAAAUCCCCAGGCUUAACCUGGGAACUGCGUCGGAUACUGGAUGGCUUGAAUCCGGGAGAGGGAUGCGGAAUUCCAGGUGUAGCGGUGAAAUGCGUAGAUAUCUGGAGGAACACCGGUGGCGAAGGCGGCAUCCUGGACCGAUAUUGACGCUGAGGAGCGAAAGCUAGGGGAGCAAACGGG
Molecule: ribosomal RNA, 253 nt
Filed under: uncultured bacterium
Lineage: Bacteria
Description: partial 16S ribosomal RNA
Rfam family: Bacterial small subunit ribosomal RNA
Source: RNAcentral